RNAcentral lists this ribosomal RNA (500 nucleotides) under uncultured bacterium. Its description in RNAcentral is "bacterial SSU rRNA". It matches the Rfam family "Bacterial small subunit ribosomal RNA", at positions 8 to 526 of the family's 1533-position model. The record is from RNAcentral.
AGGGUUUGAUUCUGGCUCAGGACGAACGCUGGCGGCAUGCCUAACACAUGCAAGUCGAACGAGAAAGUUCCUUCGGGAGCAAUUAAAGUGGCGCACGGGUGAGUAACGCGUAGACAAUCUGCCCUUCAGUCUGGGACAACUUUUCGAAAGGAGAGCUAAUACCGGAUAACAACGCAUGACACAAGUUGUAUAUUUGAAAGCUUUAUGUGCUGAAGGAGGGGUCUGCGUCCCAUUAGCUAGUUGGUAGGGUAAAGGCUUACCAAGGCAACGAUGGGUAGCGGGUUUGAGAGGACGAUCCGCCACACUGGAACUGAGACACGGCCCAGACUCCUACGGGAGGCAGCAGUGGGGAAUAUUGCACAAUGGAGGAAACUCUGAUGCAGCAAUGUCGCGUGAGUGAAGAAGGCCCUUGGGUCGUAAAGCUCUUUUAUGGGGGAAGAUGAUGACGGUACCCCAAGAAUAAGCACCGGCUAACUAUGUGCCAGCAGCCGCGGUAAUAC